CGUUUUACCCCGCUAGAACUCUUUGAAUAUUAAAUCAGAAGGCUCAAGUGACAGAAGAGAGCCCUAGAUUAAAAACCCUUUCUUUUCCAAUUCUUCAAGUCCUCUUUCUGUCACAUAAUCCAUGGCGGCCUCUCUACAUAUGAGCAAAAGAACCUGAAGCUCGAGCUCCUUCGACGAUUAUUACGCAGCAGUCCAGCUCCAAAGCUGAUUCUCUACCGAAUGCAACCAGCACCGCCACCACCUUGAUGAUGUCAUUUUGCCCAUUCUUCCUGCGAAGAAGAGAAAGGAGACUAGGGACCAGCCCAUUCUCCCUAACUCAACUCCUGCCACCUUCUCCGUCACCACCCGAAGAAGAGGGUGUGGGCACUUCCACCCGAUUUGUUCCCCGAGAAGCCAGUUUCGGAGCAGGAUUUGAAUCUUGAGUACAAGCCGAUCUCGGGGAAGAGUUAGAAGCUGGUGGAGAAACUGCUGACUGAUAGCGGUUCUGGAGUCAAUACUCGGAUAACAGUUCAGCUUUGACUAGCUCCAUAAUAUUAUGUAUGGUGAUGCUAAAGGAUGGUUUAAAAGAACCUGUUCUUUUCUGUAUCCAUAUGUUCUCGGAGUUGUGAACCCUGAUGCUAAAGCUGUACGAGGAUGGAACAAGUUCUUUGUCAUAUCUGUAAUAGAGAUAGUAGACCAACCAUAUAAAAUUGCUCUCAAUUAUCUCCAUGGAAACUUUUUAGUCGACAUAAUUAUUGUUUUGCCACUUCCUCAGGUAAGCUCUCACUUUGAAUUGUUUUGAUAUGCUUGAUGUGGAAUUGUUUAAAUUUGAUCAUUCUACAAAUGUCAAAUACAAGUCAAUGCAUCGAACUUUAUAACCCUAAUUAAGAUUACUUAUCUUUAUCCUGUUUUCAUUAGCUGUUCAUCAAAAUUUUUUUUUCUACAGACACAGCAUAUGAUGGGUUUUAGCUUUGAUUCAUUUGUACUGUUGUUGUUGUUGUUGUUGUUGUUAUGAGCUAGUUGGUUUAAAUUCUUGUUCAGAUCAUAAUGUUGUCGGUUGUUCCUUUGGGAUCGUUUCUAGCAAAUCAAACAAAGAAUCUUCUCCGCUUGGCAGACUAGAUUUCAAUAUUUUCCCAUGUUGUAUAGGGUUCUGCCCUUGCUUGCUGGUCAAUCUCCAAAUGGCUUCUUUGUAUUCGAGUCAGCUUGGACAAAUUUUUUUAUAAACACUCACUUUCUUGUUGGUUGGCCAUGUUAUUGGGUCAUACUGGUACCUCAUUGGCUUACAGAGGGUUAACCAAUGUCUUCGAGAUGCCUGCCAUAACUCUUAUCUGCAGUCAUGCGGGAGUUUAAUAGAUUGUUGCAAUGCUCAAUCUAUUCCAGAGUCAACUAAAUGGAGAGAAAAUGAGGAGGCUGCUGGUUGUUUUAAUCAGGAAGGAGAUUUCUCCUAUGGAGUAUAUACUCUAGUUGUCAAUCUCACUACAAGAGAUAGCAUGACUAAAUAUUUAUACUCACUGUUUUGGGGAUUCCAGGGGCUUCUUCCAUGGAUACUCAGUUCUCAUGAUUCUCAACCAUGCAUUCAGUGGCAUUUCUGUGUUUAUGGUAAUGAAGUAUGCUGACAAUAUUGUGAAGGUAAAAGUUGGCAUCAAACAUAAUAUGAAGAUAUUUAAAAGGCCACAGCAUGGAUCAUUGACCAUUUAUCUUUUGCAAUCAACAAAGACGAUUCUAAUCUAGGAUGCUCUCUGGUAAUCUAGAAUGUUUUACAUUUUAGGAUGGUGAUGAUAAAUUGUUGGUUUAAUUAAGUUGUUUUUAUACAGUAUUGUUGUUGGCAUAUUAAUUUACAUUUUGUAAUGUGAUAUUGCAGUUUGUUAUCUCUCUUUUCAUCUCAAUAAAUUGUAUAGAUGUAUAUAGAUUUUGAAAUGGUAUCACAAA
RNA transcript from Rosa chinensis, 1908 nucleotides. It is a transcript of the gene named probable cyclic nucleotide-gated ion channel 20, chloroplastic, with no coding region annotated. Lineage: Eukaryota; Viridiplantae; Streptophyta; Magnoliopsida; Rosales; Rosaceae. The record is from RefSeq and is a predicted model, not a curated record. The transcript is spliced from 7 exons.